AGAGGAAGUCCGGUGCGAAUCCGGCGCGGUCCCGCCACUGUCACCGGGGAGCGUUCCUCCGAGCGACGGCCACGGCCCGUGUUCCUUACGGGCGGGAAGGCCGGGGGCGACGCCGAUCCGGGAGCCAGGAGACUC
Molecule: non-coding RNA, 135 nt
Filed under: Streptomyces natalensis
Lineage: Bacteria; Bacillati; Actinomycetota; Actinomycetes; Kitasatosporales; Streptomycetaceae
Source: RNAcentral